Molecule: ribosomal RNA, 744 nt
Filed under: uncultured bacterium
Lineage: Bacteria
Description: bacterial SSU rRNA
Rfam family: Bacterial small subunit ribosomal RNA
Source: RNAcentral
AGAGUUUGAUCCUGGCUCAGAACGAACGCUGGCGGCAUGCCUAAUACAUGCAAGUCGAACGAGAUCUUCGGAUCUAGUGGCGCACGGGUGCGUAACGCGUGGGGAUCUGCCCUUGGGUUCGGAAUAACUUCUGGAAACGGAAGCUAAUACCGGAUGAUGACGUAAGUCCAAAGAUUUAUCGCCCAAGGAUGAGCCCGCGUAGGAUUAGCUAGUUGGUGGGGUAAAGGCCCACCAAGGCGACGAUCCUUAGCUGGUCUGAGAGGAUGAUCAGCCGCACUGGGACUGAGACACGGCCCGGACUCCUACGGGAGGCAGCAGUAGGGAAUAUUGGACAAUGGGCGAAAGCCUGAUCCAGCAAUGCCGCGUGAGUGAUGAAGGCCUUAGGGUUGUAAAGCUCUUUUACCCGGGAUGAUAAUGACAGUACCGGGAGAAUAAGCUCCGGCUAACUCCGUGCCAGCAGCCGCGGUAAUACGGAGGGAGCUAGCGUUGUUCGGAAUUACUGGGCGUAAAGCGCACGUAGGCGGCUAUUCAAGUCAGAGGUGAAAGCCCGGGGCUCAACCCCGGAACUGCCUUUGAAACUAGAUAGCUUGAAUCCAGGAGAGGUGAGUGGAAUUCCGAGUGUAGAGGUGAAAUUCGUAGAUAUUCGGAAGAACACCAGUGGCGAAGGCGGCUCACUGGACUGGUAUUGACGCUGAGCUGCGAAAGCGUGGGGAGCAAACAGGAUUAGAUACCCUGGUAGUCCAA